GGGGAGGUCGCAUAGAGGCCUAGUGCGGUGGUUUGCUAAACCGCUAGGGGGGUAACCUCCUCGAGGGUUCGAAUCCCUCCCUCCCCGCCA
RNAcentral lists this transfer RNA (90 nucleotides) under Chloroflexia bacterium SDU3-3. Its description in RNAcentral is "tRNA-Ser". It matches the Rfam family "tRNA". From Rfam's summary of the family: Transfer RNA (tRNA) molecules are approximately 80 nucleotides in length. Their secondary structure includes four short double-helical elements and three loops (D, anti-codon, and T loops). Lineage: Bacteria; Bacillati; Chloroflexota; Chloroflexia. The record is from RNAcentral.